AGACCCCGCGCGUAAGGUUCGGGGCUUCGCGCAGAUCCUCGCCGCUCCGCUUCCCAGCCGGCGACCGCGUGGGUUCAUCGCAGGGUUCGCAGGCCCCCUAGACCCAUGGGCCCCGUUGCUAUAGCAACGGUAGCACCGGCCAUGUGAGGGCCCUGCUCUGCUCUGCCUCUUCGGUGGUCUUCGCUCGGAAGAAAAGAGGAAGGUUAAGAAACCCAGUGGGCAGCAAGACAGAAGAGGAAUAGUUUUAAAAAAUCAACGGAGGGAUCGAAAAGGAGUAGGAUGAGGAAGAUUUCUCUAGUCUCACAAUUAACCACUGUAAAACUGUGUUGAGGUUGGGUGGAGGGGAACGAAGGUUCCUUUCAUUUUCUUCUCCGUUAAUGAGAAUCAGCAAAAUUGGGUUUACUUGCAAAUAAAUCUAUAUAUUUUUUUAAAUUGGUCCAUUCGCUCACUAUCACAAAUAUCGCAAAGUCGCUAUCGAAGUAGGUCGGUAAUUAUCUCAGAUGGUGUAAUAAAUUAACUGCUAAUCUGCAAGGUCGUUUUUAUCAUUUAGUGCAUGUGUGUGCAUAGUUUCCGUUCUGGCUUAUAUUCAUCAACACCGUGAGAAACUUUUUUUUUUAACUCGACGUUUGUCUGCAAGCUUGAUUUUGGUACAGUGGUGCAGUCAAACAUGGUUAGUAAAAUACAAAAAAUUUUACUAGCGUAAAUCUUCUGCGGCACACAGAUAACUGAUCCUAAAUGAUAGCUUACUGCAGCUCUCCGCAAAAUGCAUUCUGCAAACACAAUAAUUACGAUAAACUUUGAGUAACGCAAUCAAAACCAGGAAAUUGCAAAGGUUAAGGGCCCCGCAUACCUGUGCACAGGCAGUGAGGCACUUCAGAGAAGGAAGAAAAAAAACACGUGAUUUAAAAAGUGCUCAAGAUAUCCGAGUGGGGUCUGUUUUCGAAAAAAAAAUAAAAAUUUAAGAAUACGAUGAGGCCGGAUGAGUACUUCCAUUUUCGUAUUUAAUUUUAAAACUGUUUUUGAUGUGUAACAUCUUAGCUCUCGGUAUGCGGCAUUUGGUAGGAGUAAUUACGUGAAUGGCAGGCAGACAGAAGCGCGCGUCAUUCAAUUUUUCGGUGCGGCCUACAUUUAGCGUUUGUGCUGCAGCGUGUCAGAGCGCAAACAUUUCCAUGGCGUCUGAACACUGAAUGUGUACAAAUGUUUAUAGGAAUUAUGUUAAAUAAAUGAAAUUAUAACACC
Long non-coding RNA from Bacillus rossius redtenbacheri, 1239 nucleotides. RefSeq lists it as uncharacterized. The record is from RefSeq and is a predicted model, not a curated record. The transcript is spliced from 2 exons. Lineage: Eukaryota; Metazoa; Arthropoda; Insecta; Phasmatodea; Bacillidae.